GGUCUGUCUCUAAAUACAGUCACACUGGGUGUUGAGCCUUCAACAUAUGAAUUUUUGGGAGAACACCAACAUCCAAUUCAUAACACCAUUAAAAAGGAGGAGAAAAUAUUUUUAUUGGGUCAUUUUCCCUGGGGCUGAAUCUAUCAGAUCUACACAGGAGAGCAUUGAGAGAGCUAAUUGGAAAGAUUGCUAAGCUUGCUGCAAGAAGCCAGAGAGGGGCAUUUUAUUUCUCACUUGGAUGCUUGCUGAGCCACAGAACACGCAGGUCUCCCCUGGAGCUGUCAUGGAAGUAUGGUGAUGAAAUUACUAGGAGAACUUGGCUUGUACCCUCUGGGACUUGGAGCAGAGUACCCUGACUGCCUCUGGACUUGAGUGCAUGAAGCAAGCAUCCGUGUCUGGGAGACCCAGUGAAAAUGAACUUUAGGGCAACUACUGGCUGUCAGCAGGCAAGAAACGGAGGCCCCCAGUCCAGCAGGACAGAGAUCGCUGACUCCUGCUAACAAGCAUGUGAAGCUGGGAGCAGAUCCCUCUCCAGUUGAGCUUUCAGAUGAGAUGCUGGAAACCUUGAUUGAAGCUUCACGAGAGACCCUGAAGCAGAGGGUCUGGUGAGCUAUACCCAGGUUCUGCGAGAUGGUACAUGUGUGUUGUUGUUAGCCACUAAAUGUGUGCUAAUUUGUUAUAGACAAUAGGUAACGAAUAUGCAGUUUUGUGGUUUUGCUUACAUCACUCCCCUCUUCACAGGACUGCAGUAUAAGUCCCUGGAGAUUGUUCUCGGAAAUAAAUAUAACUGACAAUCACCACUCUGUGCUCAGAAUUGUCCUUCUCCUUCCACCAAAGGUCUGUUACCUGAUCAGCUUUGUUGUGCUUGAUUGCUCUGGGAAAAGUUCUCUCUCAGGUGACCUUAGCUCCUCACACAAAGGGAGCUUUGUGGAGCCUGCCUAUGUCGUUCCCCAAAUAAGCCUGAACACUCUUAAAUCCAGCAGUGGUGCAGCUUGGCCUAAGCUAAGAGCUCACAAUAUGUCAGAUAAUUUGUCAAUUUCCAGAUGCAUUAUACCAAGGGUCCCCAACUCCCCCAGGGCCACAGAUCAGUACUUCAGAGCAAUGAGCAGUGGGUGAGCAAGAGAAGUUUCAUCUGUAUCUACAGCUACUCUAGUUGCAGGAAAACAAGCUCAGGACUCCCACUGAUUCUCCAUUAUGAUGAGUUGUAUAAUUAUUUCAUUAUAUAUCACAAAGUAAUAGUAAAAGAAAUAAAGUGCAAAAUAAAUGUAAUGCACUUGGGAUCAUCCUGAAACCAUCCCACCCCACCAACCCCAGUCAGUGGAAAAAUUGCCUUCCAUAAAACCAGUCCCUGGUGCCAAAAGUUUAGGGACCGCUGCAUUGAUACUACUGUAGCUAUAGUUAUUAGAUUGACAUUAAACUUUAUUCUUCAUUUAAAAAAUGUUUCAUGCCCUGUGAAAUACUUGACUAUGAGUAGAAAUAUAAUUCAAAAAAAGACACAUGUACUCCAGUGGUCAUUUCAGUACUGUUUACAAUAGCCAGGACAUGGAAACAACCUAAAUGACCAUCAACAGAGGAGUGGAUAAAGAGGAGGUGGUGCAUAGUAAAUAUGAUGGAAUAUUACUUAACCAUAAAAAAGAAUGAAAUAAUGCCACUUGAAGCAACAUAGAUGGACCUGGAAAUGAUCAUACUAAGAGAGGUAAGUCAGACAGAGAGAGACAAAUAUCAUAUGACAUCACUUAUAUGUGGAACCUGAAAAGAUGAGACAAAUGAAAUUAUUUACAAACCAGAAACAGACUCACAGACUUUGAAAGGAAACUAAUGGUUACCAAAGCAAAAUGGUUGGGGAGAGGGAUAAAUUCAGAGUUUGAGAUUAAGAUAUAUACAUAACUAAAUAUAGAAUAAAUAAUCAAAAAGGACCUAGUGUAUAGCACAGUGAACUCUCCUCAAUAUUCUGUAAUAACCUAUAUGAGAAAAGAAUCUGAAAAAGAAUGAAAAUAUGUAUAUGUAUAACUGAAUAAC
This is a long non-coding RNA of Bubalus bubalis (water buffalo), 2019 nucleotides long. RefSeq lists it as uncharacterized. The transcript is spliced from 3 exons. The record is from RefSeq and is a predicted model, not a curated record. Lineage: Eukaryota; Metazoa; Chordata; Mammalia; Artiodactyla; Bovidae.